GUCUACAGCCAUACCACCCUGAACACGCCUGAUCUCAGAAGCUAAGCAGGGUCGGGCCUGGUUAGUACUUGGAAGGGAGAAAUUCACAGAGUGAGAUAGGAUUGCCCAGUACUGAGCCC
Ribosomal RNA from Erinaceus europaeus (western European hedgehog), 119 nucleotides. Lineage: Eukaryota; Metazoa; Chordata; Mammalia; Eulipotyphla; Erinaceidae. The record is from Ensembl.